Molecule: ribosomal RNA, 93 nt
Filed under: Enterococcus faecalis TX0470
Lineage: Bacteria; Bacillati; Bacillota; Bacilli; Lactobacillales; Enterococcaceae
Source: RNAcentral
UGGUGGCGAUAGCGAGAAGGAUACACCUGUUCCCAUGCCGAACACAGAAGUUAAGCUUCUUAGCGCCGAUUGUAGUGAAGGGUUUCCCUUUGU